UGCACGCUUCAAAAGUCUAUUAAUUAGGGUUCCAGCCAAAUAACUCUCCUCCAAAAUUUUAAUCCCUGCUUCUCACCCGCUCCCCUGCGUCAAGCCAUUCAAAGAACCCUGCUUCCAUACAUUUGCUCUGAUCGAUUUGGUGGUCUUCCAUGGUAGAUUCGUAAACAUCUCCAUAUAUUCAAGUGCAGAGCUGCGCUAUGUUGUGCGAUAUGUACUAUGGCUUAUGAGACAAAUGAGGAAGGGGAUAAUCUCAAGGCAUCAGCAUAUUCCUCAUUUAUUGCAGAGCAGGCAAUGUAA
RNAcentral lists this long non-coding RNA (297 nucleotides) under Helianthus annuus (common sunflower). Its description in RNAcentral is "hypothetical non coding rna". Lineage: Eukaryota; Viridiplantae; Streptophyta; Magnoliopsida; Asterales; Asteraceae. The record is from RNAcentral.